UUUUUCCUACGGGGCGCAGCAGUGGGGAAUAUUGCACAAUGGGGGAAACCCUGAUGCAGCAACGCCGCGUGAAGGAAGACGGUUUUCGGAUUGUAAACUUCUUUUCUUAGUGAAGAAGCAAGUGACGGUAGCUAAGGAAUAAGCAUCGGCUAACUACGUGCCAGCAGCCGCGGUAAUACGUAGGAUGCGAGCGUUAUCCGGAAUUACUGGGUGUAACGGGAGCGCAGGCGGGACUGCAAGUUGAGUUUGAAAUACCGCAGCUUAACUACGGACCUGCAU
RNAcentral lists this ribosomal RNA (279 nucleotides) under uncultured bacterium. Its description in RNAcentral is "partial 16S ribosomal RNA". It matches the Rfam family "Bacterial small subunit ribosomal RNA", at positions 333 to 626 of the family's 1533-position model. The record is from RNAcentral.